This 407-nucleotide ribosomal RNA is filed under the name uncultured bacterium. Its description in RNAcentral is "partial 16S ribosomal RNA". It matches the Rfam family "Bacterial small subunit ribosomal RNA", at positions 28 to 526 of the family's 1533-position model. The record is from RNAcentral.
GACGAACGCUGGCGGCGUGCCUAAUACAUGCAAGUAGAACGCAGUUGCGAACGGGUGAGUAACGCGUAGGUAACUGCCUCAUUGCGGGGGAUAACUAUUGGAAACGAUAGCUAAUACCGCAUACUGUGAGCUGGACCUGCUUUGUAUUAUGUAGUUGGGUAGGUAAAGGCUCACCAAGGCGACGAUACAUAGCCGACCUGCGAGGGAUAUCGAGCCCAAUGGGACUGGGAAACGGCCCAGACUCCCACCGGAGGGAGCAAGAGGGAAACUUCGGCAAUGGGGGGAAGUCUGAACGAGCAACGCCGCGGGAGUGAAGAAGGUUUUCGGGGCGUAAAGCUCUGUUGUUAGAGAAGCGGUAACUAAACAGAAAGGGACGGCUAACUACGUGCCAGCAGCCGCGGUAAUUC